GCCCUGAUGGUCUAGCGGUAUGAUUCUCCCUUAGGGUCAUCUUCAGAUGUCUUGUAUGGGAGAGGUCCCAGGUUCGAUCCCUGGUUAGGGCC
This 92-nucleotide transfer RNA is filed under the name Colletotrichum orbiculare MAFF 240422. RNAcentral describes it as "tRNA-Pro for anticodon AGG". It matches the Rfam family "tRNA". Rfam says of the family: Transfer RNA (tRNA) molecules are approximately 80 nucleotides in length. Their secondary structure includes four short double-helical elements and three loops (D, anti-codon, and T loops). Lineage: Eukaryota; Fungi; Ascomycota; Sordariomycetes; Glomerellales; Glomerellaceae. The record is from RNAcentral.